GUGCUUGCUUCGGCAGCAUACAUACUGAAAUUGAAAUAAUCCUGAGAAGAUCAGCAUGGCCCAGCACAAGGAAGACAUGCAAAUUCAUGAAGCGUUCCAUAUUUUU
Molecule: small nuclear RNA, 106 nt
Organism: Otolemur garnettii (small-eared galago)
Lineage: Eukaryota; Metazoa; Chordata; Mammalia; Primates; Galagidae
Source: Ensembl